Molecule: microRNA, 23 nt
Filed under: Heligmosomoides polygyrus
Lineage: Eukaryota; Metazoa; Nematoda; Chromadorea; Rhabditida; Heligmosomidae
Description: hpo-miR-5885c-5p
Source: miRBase by way of RNAcentral
AGGGUAUACGUGGUGUUCUGGUA